RNAcentral lists this ribosomal RNA (501 nucleotides) under uncultured bacterium. RNAcentral describes it as "partial 16S ribosomal RNA". It matches the Rfam family "Bacterial small subunit ribosomal RNA", at positions 30 to 523 of the family's 1533-position model. The record is from RNAcentral.
AUUGAACGCUGGCGGCAGGCUUAACACAUGCAAGUCGAGCGGAGAUGAGGUGCUUGCACCUUAUCUUAGCGGCGGACGGGUGAGUAAUGCUUAGGAAUCUGCCUAUUAGUGGGGGACAACAUUCCGAAAGGAAUGCUAAUACCGCAUACGCCCUACGGGGGAAAGCAGGGGAUCUUCGGACCUUGCGCUAAUAGAUGAGCCUAAGUCGGAUUAGCUAGUUGGUGGGGUAACGGCCUACCAAGGCGACGAUCUGUAGCGGGUCUGAGAGGAUGAUCCGCCACACUGGGACUGAGACACGGCCCAGACUCCUACGGGAGGCAGCAGUGGGGAAUAUUGGACAAUGGGCGGAAGCCUGAUCCAGCCAUGCCGCGUGUGUGAAGAAGGCCUUUUGGUUGUAAAGCACUUUAAGCGAGGAGGAGGCUACUUAGAUUAAUACUCUAGGAUAGUGGACGUUACUCGCAGAAUAAGCACCGGCUAACUCUGUGCCAGCCGCCGCGGUAA